CGAACGAUGAAGCCGGAGCUUGCUCUGGUGGAUUAGUGGCGAACGGGUGAGUAACACGUGAGUAACCUGCCCCUGACUCUGGGAUAAGCGCUGGAAACGGCGUCUAAUACCGGAUAUGCGCUGUAACCGCAUGGUUUGCAGCGGGAAAGAUUUAUCGGUUGGGGAUGGACUCGCGGCCUAUCAGCUUGUUGGUGAGGUAAUGGCUCACCAAGGCGUCGACGGGUAGCCGGCCUGAGAGGGUGACCGGCCACACUGGGACUGAGACACGGCCCAGACUCCUACGGGAGGCAGCAGUGGGGAAUAUUGCACAAUGGGCGCAAGCCUGAUGCAGCAACGCCGCGUGAGGGAUGACGGCCUUCGGGUUGUAAACCUCUUUUAGCAGGGAAGAAGCCUUCGGGUGACGGUACCUGCAGAAAAAGCGCCGGCUAACUACGUGCCAGCAGCCGCGGUAAUACGUAGGGCGCAAGCGUUAUCCGGAAUUAUUGGGCGUAAAGAGCUCGUAGGCGGUUUGUCACGUCUGCUGUGAAAACUGGAGGCUCAACCUCCAGCCUGCAGUGGGUACGGGCAGACUAGAGUGCGGUAGGGGAGAUUGGAAUUCCUGGUGUAGCGGUGGAAUGCGCAGAUAUCAGGAG
Molecule: ribosomal RNA, 632 nt
Filed under: Microbacterium sp.
Lineage: Bacteria; Bacillati; Actinomycetota; Actinomycetes; Micrococcales; Microbacteriaceae
Description: bacterial SSU rRNA
Rfam family: Bacterial small subunit ribosomal RNA
Source: RNAcentral